AGUGAACGCUGGUGGUAGGCCUAACACAUGCAAGUCGAACGGCAGCACAGUAAGAGCUUGCUCUUAUGGGUGGCGAGUGGCGGACGGGUGAGGAAUACAUCGGAAUCUACUUUUUCGUGGGGGAUAACGUAGGGAAACUUACGCUAAUACCGCAUACGACCUACGGGUGAAAGCAGGGGAUCUUCGGACCUUGCGCGAUUGAAUGAGCCGAUGUCGGAUUAGCUAGUUGGCGGGGUAAAGGCCCACCAAGGCGACGAUCCGUAGCUGGUCUGAGAGGAUGAUCAGCCACACUGGAACUGAGACACGGUCCAGACUCCUACGGGAGGCAGCAGUGGGGAAUAUUGGACAAUGGGCGCAAGCCUGAUCCAGCCAUACCGCGUGGGUGAAGAAGGCCUUCGGGUUGUAAAGCCCUUUUGUUGGGAAAGAAAAGCAGCAGGUUAAUACCCCGCUGUUCUGACGGUACCCAAAGAAUAAGCACCGGCUAACUUCGUG
RNAcentral lists this ribosomal RNA (492 nucleotides) under uncultured bacterium. Its description in RNAcentral is "partial 16S ribosomal RNA". It matches the Rfam family "Bacterial small subunit ribosomal RNA", at positions 29 to 507 of the family's 1533-position model. The record is from RNAcentral.